Molecule: ribosomal RNA, 226 nt
Filed under: uncultured bacterium
Lineage: Bacteria
Description: partial 16S ribosomal RNA
Rfam family: Bacterial small subunit ribosomal RNA
Source: RNAcentral
GACAGAGGGUGCAAACGUUGUUCGGAAUUACUGGGCGUAAAGCGCGUGUAGGCUGCUUCGAAAGUCGGAUGUGAAAGCCCUGGGCUCAACCUAGGAAGUGCAUUCGAAACUUCGAGCUGGAGUCCUGGAGAGGAAGGCGGAAUUCUCGGUGUAGAGGUGAAAUUCGUAGAUAUCGAGAGGAACACCGGUGGCGAAGGCGGCCUUCUGGACAGUGACGUGACGCUGA